This 253-nucleotide ribosomal RNA is filed under the name uncultured prokaryote. RNAcentral describes it as "partial 16S ribosomal RNA". It matches the Rfam family "Bacterial small subunit ribosomal RNA", at positions 524 to 776 of the family's 1533-position model. The record is from RNAcentral.
UACGUAGGGGGCGAGCGUUGUCCGGAAUUACUGGGCGUAAAGGGUGCGUAGGCGGUAAAUUAAGUUGGAUGUGAAAUUCCCGGGCUCAACUUGGGGAGUGCAUCCAAAACUGGUUAACUAGAGUGCAGGAGAGGGAAGCGGAAUUCCUAGUGUAGCGGUGAAAUGCGUAGAUAUUAGGAGGAACACCAGUGGCGAAGGCGGCUUUCUGGACUGUAACUGACGCUGAGGCACGAAAGCGUGGGGAGCAAACAGG